CCAAAACCUCUGCCCAUGUGCCACACCUGAUUCAUCUUACGCCAUAACUUCAGAAGAGAAACCAACUUAUCGGCCUCAUCUCUAAAAACACCCCCUUAACAUCGGCUCAUUUCCGCCUGUACUCCACAGGAGUCGCGUUUAGCUUUGGUAGCUCUGCAACAAAAAUAAUAUUUGCGGUUAAUAAUAAAUGCGCCGAGAUGCUUUGAAGUUGGAGGUUGCUGGUUCCUCUGAUCCAAGCCGGUGUUUGUACGCGCACGGGCUGUCGGUGGCUGACGCUAAGGGGGAGUGUAAUUCCAAUGAUAAAAUCACUGAAGAGGAGGAGCAGCCAGCGCGGACCCCUGACUGAGGUCCCAUUAAUCCUGGUUAGUGUUUCCUGUGGCCACACCAGGACAACAGCCGUUACCUCAUAAUUUGCAGAAGAGUAAAGAAGAAGACACAGGAGAGAGAAAAGGACAUCUGGGGGUCGUGUACUGGGCUAGACCAUGUAGAAGAAGCACACCAUCUAGUACCUGAAAUAGGAGGCAAAUAAAGACGCUGUUUUGGUUUUUGAACAUUGCCUCUCCGCGGUUGUAUCAUAGACCAUAGAGACCCCAGGCAGAGAUGAAUGGAAGUAAAAGAGAAAUGGAAAAAAAGAGCGAGA
Molecule: long non-coding RNA, 640 nt
Organism: Esox lucius (northern pike)
Lineage: Eukaryota; Metazoa; Chordata; Actinopteri; Esociformes; Esocidae
Source: Ensembl